This 495-nucleotide ribosomal RNA is filed under the name uncultured bacterium. RNAcentral's name for it is "partial 16S ribosomal RNA". It matches the Rfam family "Bacterial small subunit ribosomal RNA", at positions 28 to 507 of the family's 1533-position model. The record is from RNAcentral.
GACGAACGCUGGCGGCGUGCCUAAUACAUGCAAGUAGAACGCUGAAGGAGGAGCUUGCUUCUCUGGAUGAGUUGCGAACGGGUGAGUAACGCGUAGGUAACCUGCCUGGUAGCGGGGGAUAACUAUUGGAAACGAUAGCUAAUACCGCAUAAUAGCAGUUGUUGCAUGACAACUGUUUGAAAGGUGCAAAUGCAUCACUACCAGAUGGACCUGCGUUGUAUUAGCUAGUUGGUGGGGUAAAGGCUCACCAAGGCGACGAUACAUAGCCGACCUGAGAGGGUGAUCGGCCACACUGGGACUGAGACACGGCCCAGACUCCUACGGGAGGCAGCAGUAGGGAAUCUUCGGCAAUGGACGGAAGUCUGACCGAACAACGCCGCGUGAGUGAAGAAGGUUUUCGGAUCGUAAAGCUCUGUUGUAAGAGAAGAACGAGUGUGAGAGUGGAAAGUUCACACUGUGACGGUAUCUUACCAGAAAGGGACGGCUAACUACGUG